UUAAGCCAUGCGAGUUAAAUGUUCUUCGUGAACAUAGCAGACUGCUUAGUAACACGUGGAUAACCUGCCCUUAGGACUGGCAUAACCCCGGGAAACUGGGGAUAAUUCCGGAUAGAUCAUAAAUGUUGGAAUGCUUUAUGAUUGAAAGGUUUCGACCGCCUUAGGAUGGAUCUGCGGCCUAUCAGGUUGUAGUGGGUGUAAUGUACCUACUAGCCUACGACGGGUACGGGUUGUGGAAGCAAGAGCCCGGAGAUGGAUUCUGAGACAUGAAUCCAGGCCCUACGGGGCGCAGCAGGCGCGAAAACUUUACAAUGCGGGAAACCGUGAUAAGGGAACACUGAGUGCUAGCAUUUAUGUUAGCUGUCCACAUGUGUAAAUAGCAUGUGAUAGCAAGGGCUGGGCAAGACCGGUGCCAGCCGCCGCGGUAACACCGGCAGCCCGAGUGGUGAUCACUAUUAUUGGGUCUAAAGGGUCCGUAGCCGGUUUAAUCAGUCUUCUGGGAAAUCUAAUCGCUUAACUAUUAGGCUUCCAGGGGAUACUGUUAGACUUGGGACCGGGAGAGGUAAGAGGUACUGCAGGGGUAGGAGUGAAAUCUUGUAAUCCCUGUGAGACCACCAGUGGCGAAGGCGUCUUACCAGAACGGGUCCGACGGUGAGGGACGAAAGCUGGGGGCACGAACCGGAUUAGAUACCCGGGUAGUCCCAGCUGUAAACGAUGCUCGUUAGGUGUCAGGAACGGUGCGACUGUUUCUGGUGCCGAAGGGAAAGCCGUGAAACGAGCCACCU
Molecule: ribosomal RNA, 785 nt
Filed under: uncultured archaeon
Lineage: Archaea
Description: bacterial SSU rRNA
Rfam family: Archaeal small subunit ribosomal RNA
Source: RNAcentral